ACCGAAUAGAUACCCGGGUAGUCCACGCCGUAAACGAUGGAUGCUAGCUGUUAGGAGUAUCGACCCUUCUAGUAGCGAAAGCUAAACGCGUUAAGCAUCCCGCCUGGGGAGUACGGUCGCAAGAUUAAAACUCAAAGGAAUUGACGGGGACCCGCACAAGCGGUGGAGCGUGUUCUUUAAUUCGAUGAUAAGCGAAGAACCUUACCAGGACUUGACAUCCAGGGAAGCACUACGAAAGUAGAGUGUGCCUUUUGGAACCCUGUGACAGGUGCUGCAUGGCCGUCGUCAGCUCGUGUCGUGAGAUGUUUGG
Molecule: ribosomal RNA, 310 nt
Filed under: uncultured bacterium
Lineage: Bacteria
Description: bacterial SSU rRNA
Rfam family: Bacterial small subunit ribosomal RNA
Source: RNAcentral